GACGAACGCUGGCGGCGUGCCUAACACAUGCAAGUCGAGCGGGGUUGAAGCGAGGGGUAACUCGAACUUCUACCUAGCGGCGGACGGGUGAGUAACGCGUGGGCAACCUGCCUCAAGGUCUGGGAUAACAGCUCGAAAGGGCUGCUAAUACCGGAUAUGCCUAUAGCCUCGCAUGGGGCUAUGAGCAAAGGGGAAACCCGCCUUGAGAUGGGCCCGCGUCCCAUCAGCUAGUUGGUGAGGUGAAGGCUCACCAAGGCGACGACGGGUAGCCGGCCUGAGAGGGUGACCGGCCACACUGGGACUGAGACACGGCCCAGACUCCUACGGGGGGCAGCAGUGGGGAAUCUUGCACAAUGGGCGAAAGCCUGAUGCAGCGACGCCGCGUGAGCGAAGAAGGCCUUCGGGUUGUAAAGCUCUGUCUGGAGGGACGAAGAAAGUAGACGGUACCUCCGGAGGAAGCCACGGCUAACUACGUGCCAGCAGCCGCGGUAAACGUAAGCGUG
RNAcentral lists this ribosomal RNA (503 nucleotides) under uncultured bacterium. Its description in RNAcentral is "bacterial SSU rRNA". It matches the Rfam family "Bacterial small subunit ribosomal RNA", at positions 28 to 533 of the family's 1533-position model. The record is from RNAcentral.